RNAcentral lists this ribosomal RNA (439 nucleotides) under uncultured bacterium. RNAcentral describes it as "partial 16S ribosomal RNA". It matches the Rfam family "Bacterial small subunit ribosomal RNA", at positions 339 to 795 of the family's 1533-position model. The record is from RNAcentral.
CUACGGGACGCUCCAGUGAGGAAUAUUGCACAAUGGGGGGAACCCUGAUGCAGCAACGCCGCGUGGAGGAUGACGCAUUUCGGUGUGUAAACUCCUUUUAUAUGUCAAGAAAAUGACGGUAGCAUAUGAAUAAGCACCGGCUAACUCCGUGCCAGCAGCCGCGGUAAUACGGAGGGUGCAAGCGUUACUCGGAAUCACUGGGCGUAAAGGACGCGUAGGCGGGUUGGAAAGUCAGGUGUAAAAUCCUACAGCUUAACUGUAGAACUGCACUUGAAACUUCUAAUCCAGAGUAUGGGAGGGGGAGAUGGAAUUAGUGGUGUAGGGGUAAGAUCCGUAGAUAUCACUAGGAAUACCUAAAGCGAAGGCGAUCUCCUGGAACAUUACUGACGCUAAGGCGUGAAAGCGUGGGGAGCAAACAGGAUUAGAUACCCGUGUAGUC